Pelobates cultripes (western spadefoot toad) is the source of this 386-nucleotide non-coding RNA. The record is from the annotation of a GenBank genome assembly. NCBI's taxonomy places the organism in Eukaryota, Metazoa, Chordata, Amphibia, Anura, Pelobatidae.
AAACAGUACAUUGGCAGCCAGCAUGCAAAGUUAAGGACCUAAUAGGCUACUAUAAAAUAAAAAGCAUCAUCUCACCUUGUUUCCUUUUAUCUGUGGAGUAAUGAGGAAGCUUUAUCCUGAGCAGCAAUGGGCAGCUGUGGCUGAGAGUGGUAGCUGACCGCUUUGGGCCUAUCAUCGCUUCCAUUCCUGGUAUGAAUCGGUGUGUAAUCUCUGCCUUAGCCACACCACCACUGAGGGUCGACCUGUGGGAAGCCAGGGACCCACGUUCAGUGUUAACCUGCUCAAAAAUGGUCUAGCACUGAAUGGAGGGACAGCACCUGGGGACUCCAGACACUAUAACCACUUUAGUGAGAUGAAAUUGUCUAACACUGAGUAGAGGGACAGUG